This 135-nucleotide ribosomal RNA is filed under the name uncultured bacterium. RNAcentral describes it as "partial 16S ribosomal RNA". The record is from RNAcentral.
CACGGAGUUAGCCGGUGCUUAUUCAUAUAGUACCGUCAUUAUCUUCCUAUAUAAAAGGAGUUUACGCACCGAAAUGUGUCAUCCUCCACGCGGCGUUGCUGCAUCAGACUUUCGUCCAUUGUGCAAUAUUCCCCA